RNAcentral lists this long non-coding RNA (500 nucleotides) under Anolis carolinensis (green anole). Its description in RNAcentral is "lncRNA (ENSACAG00000042654.1)". Lineage: Eukaryota; Metazoa; Chordata; Lepidosauria; Squamata; Anolidae. The record is from RNAcentral.
ACAACAAGAAGAAGAAGAACAAUAAAAGAACAAUACAAUAUUUAAAAAUAAAAACAAUUUUAACCAACAUACAUUUAUCAGGAUUUCAAUGGGAAGCGUGGUCCUGCUUCUGGCCAAUGAGAUAGUCAAGUUAAUUAGGAUUGUUGUUGUUGUUUUUGCACUACAAAUAAGACAUGUGCAGUGUGCAUAGGAAUUUGUUCGUAUUUUUUUUCAAAUGAUAAUUUGGCCCCUCCACAGUCUGAAGGAUUGUAAACCGGCCCUUUGCUUUAAAAGUUUGAGGACCCCUGGUCUGGGUGAUAAAACAAGUUAUAAAUGAUUUGCACAUCCAGUCCCAAAUGGAUUUCCUCAAAGCUGGAGUUCUUUCUAUGCUAGAAGGAGCAUUUUUCCCUCUCCCAUGUUGAGCGUGUAAGCCGGCACACUGAUCCAAAGAGAGAACUCAAUCUGUGAUAAUCAGCUCAUUGGUAUUCGUCUUAUGGAGGCAUGACAUCCUCUGUCGCUGU